Molecule: ribosomal RNA, 604 nt
Filed under: Penicillium polonicum
Lineage: Eukaryota; Fungi; Ascomycota; Eurotiomycetes; Eurotiales; Aspergillaceae
Description: eukaryotic LSU rRNA
Rfam family: 5.8S ribosomal RNA (bases 225-377)
Source: RNAcentral
AAAAGUCGUAACAAGGUUUCCGUAGGUGAACCUGCGGAAGGAUCAUUACCGAGUGAGGGCCCUUUGGGUCCAACCUCCCACCCGUGUUUAUUUUACCUUGUUGCUUCGGCGGGCCCGCCUUUACUGGCCGCCGGGGGGCUCACGCCCCCGGGCCCGCGCCCGCCGAAGACACCCCCGAACUCUGUCUGAAGAUUGAAGUCUGAGUGAAAAUAUAAAUUAUUUAAAACUUUCAACAACGGAUCUCUUGGUUCCGGCAUCGAUGAAGAACGCAGCGAAAUGCGAUACGUAAUGUGAAUUGCAAAUUCAGUGAAUCAUCGAGUCUUUGAACGCACAUUGCGCCCCCUGGUAUUCCGGGGGGCAUGCCUGUCCGAGCGUCAUUGCUGCCCUCAAGCCCGGCUUGUGUGUUGGGCCCCGUCCUCCGAUUCCGGGGGACGGGCCCGAAAGGCAGCGGCGGCACCGCGUCCGGUCCUCGAGCGUAUGGGGCUUUGUCACCCGAUCGGUAGGCCCGGCCGGCGCUUGCCGAUCAACCCAAAUUUUUAUCCAGGUUGACCUCGGAUCAGGUAGGGAUACCCGCUGAACUUAAGCAUAUCAAUAAGCGGAGGAA